GAUGAACGCUGGCGGCGUGCCUAAUACAUGCAAGUCGAGCGAACGGACGAGAAGCUUGCUUCUCUGAUGUUAGCGGCGGACGGGUGAGUAACACGUGGAUAACCUACCUAUAAGACUGGGAUAACUUCGGGAAACCGGAGCUAAUACCGGAUAAUAUUUUGAACCGCAUGGUUCAAAAGUGAAAGACGGUCUUGCUGUCACUUAUAGAUGGAUCCGCGCUGCAUUAGCUAGUUGGUAAGGUACCGGCUUACCAAGGCAACGAUGCAUAGCCGACCUGAGAGGGUGAUCGGCCACACUGGAACUGAGACACGGUCCAGACUCCUACGGGAGGCAGCAGUAGGGAAUCUUCCGCAAAGGGCGAAAGCCUGACGGAGCAACGCCGCGUGAGUGAUGAAGGUCUUCGGAUCGUAAAACUCUGUUAUUAGGGAAGAACAUAUGUGUAAGUAACUGUGCACAUCUUGACGGUACCUAAUCAGAAAGCCACGGCUAACUACGUG
Molecule: ribosomal RNA, 497 nt
Filed under: uncultured bacterium
Lineage: Bacteria
Description: partial 16S ribosomal RNA
Rfam family: Bacterial small subunit ribosomal RNA
Source: RNAcentral